AAAUCUUUCUUAUAUUUUUAAAUGCUUGUAGUGGAUGCCUAGGCAAUUAUUGGCGAUGAAGGACGUAGAUAUUUUACGAAAUUUUCGGUUAGUUAAUAUAUCAACUUUGAACCGAAAGUAUCCAAAUGGGGCAACCUAAUUUAAAAAAUUAUUACAUUAUGAACUAAAUAGUAAUGUAAAGCUAACACAGAGAACUGAAACAUCUUAGUAACUGUAGGAAAAAAAAUAAAAUAGAUUCCCUUAGUAGUGGCGAGCGAAACGGGAAAAGUCAAUACAGUAAUUAUUUCAUAAACUAUCCGAAAUUUUAUGAAAAGAAAAUAUCGUAGAAGGUUAAAAUCCUGUAGGUUAAAGUUUUUGUAAAUGUACUAAAUGUAUUAAAAAAUAUAACGAGACACGAGAAAUCUUGUUAGAAGAAGGGAGGACCAUCUUCCAAGACUAAAUACACAUAAUUGACCGAUAGUGAACUAGUACCGUGAGGGAAAGGUGAAAAAGAACCCCUGAUAGGGGAGUGAAAUAGAACCUGAAACAACAAGCAUACAUAAAAGUCGGAAGCUUUAUAAAGUAACGGCGUACCUUUUGUAUAAUGGGUCAGUGACUUAUAUUUAGUAGCAAGCUUAACAUUAGGUAGGCAAAGUGAAAACAAGUCUUAAAUGGCGUAUUAGUUUCUAGAUAUAGACCCGAAACCAAACGAUCUAUCUAUGACCAGGAUGAAAAAUAGGUAAAACUAUUCGGAGGUCCGAACUCACUAACGUUGAAAAGUUAGGGGAUGAGUUGUGGAUAGGGGUGAAAGGCCAAUCAAGUUUGGAGAUAGCUGGUUCUCUUCGAAAGCUAUUUAGGUAGCGCCUUGUUUUUUUUAUUUUGGGGGUAGAGCACUGUAAUAACAUUAGAGUUUACUUUAAUCUUAUUGCAAACUCCGAAUACCAAAAUUUGUAUAACAGGAGACAGACAAUGGGUGAUAAUGUUCAUUGUCGAAAGGGAAACAACCCAGAUCAUAGGAUAAGGUCCCGAAAUAUUAACUAAGUGUUUAACGAAGUUAGAAAACUAAGACAGUCAGGAGGUUGGCUUAGAAGCAGCUAUCCUUUAAAGAAAGCGUAACAGCUCACUGAUCGAGUUUUUUAGCGCGGAAGAUGUGCGGGGCUAAGUUAAUUACCGAAGCCAUGAAUAUUUUUUUAAAUAUGGUAGAAGAGCGUUCUAUUAAUGCAGAAGAUAUAAGUGUGAACUAUAUUGGAAUUUAUAGAAGUGAGAAUGCUGACAUAAGUAACGAUUAAGAAAGUAAAAAACUUUCUCACCUAAAGCUUAAGGUUUCCUAUUCAACGAUAUUCGAAAUAGGGUUAGUCGGUGCUAAGGCAAGGUAUAAAUACGUAGUCGAUGAUAAACAGUUUAAUAUUACUGUACCUUUUAUAAAAGUGAUGGAGGGACAAAUUGCUGAAAAUAUAUCCAAACUAGAAAGAUUUGGUUUUGUUUAAAGAAAAUAUAAAGGAAAAUCCGUAUAUUAAAUUCAAUAAACAAUUAUUUUUUAUUAAAGAAUAUUAUAAGUAGUUUCCGGAAAAGCUUCUAAACAAUUUUUAUAAAAGACCGUACUAAAACCGACACAGGUAGGCUAGAUGAGUAUUCUAAGGUGGAUGAGAUAACUCAGGAGAAGGAACUCGGCAAAUUGAUACUGUAACUUUGGGAAAAAGUAUACCAAAGUAUGAAAAAUUUAUAUUUUGGUCUCAGAAAAAAGGUAGCUGCGACUGUUUAAUAAAAACACAGCACUCUGCAAACACAAUUGUGGAAGUAUAGGGUGUGACGCCUGCCCAGUGCUGGAAGAUUAAGUUUUGAUGUAUAUAGCUUCAAAAUUAAGUCCCAGUAAACGGCGGCCGUAACUAUAACGGUCCUAAGGUAGCGAAAUUCCUUGUCGGGUAAGUUCCGACCCGCACGAAUGGCGUAACGAUGGCUACACUGUCUCCUCCUGGGGCUCAGUGAAAUUGAAAUGUUCGUGAAGAUGCGAACUACCCGCGGUAAGACGGAAAGACCCCAUGAACCUUUACUGUAUCUUUACAUUGAAAAAAAAAAUAAACAUGCGUAGAAUAGGUAGGAGACAAUGAAAUUAGAAAUUUAGGUUUCUAAAUAGUCGAAAAUUUGAAAUACUACCCUUUUUAUAUUUUUUUUCUUAUUUAGUUCCUUAAAACAGGAAUAAAGAAAGUGUAUGGUUGACAGUUUGACUGGGGCGGUCUCCUCCUAAAGAGUAACGGAGGAGUACAAAGGUACGCUAUUUACGAACAGAAAUCGUAAAGAUAGUACAAUGGCAAAAGCGUGCUUAACUGAAAGACAAACAAGUCGAACAGAUGCGAAAGCAGGUCAUAGUGAUCCGGUAGUACCGAAUGGAAGGGCUAUCGCAUAACGAAUAAAAGGUACUCUGGGGAUAACAGGCUAAUACCGCCCAAGAGUUCAUAUCGACGGCGGUGUUUGGCACCUCGAUGUCGGCUCAUCUCAUCCUGGGGCUGAAGAAGGUCCCAAGGGUAUGGCUGUUCGCCAUUUAAAGAGGUACGUGAGCUGGGUUUAAAACGUCGUGAGACAGUUUGGUCCCUAUCUACCGUGGGCGUAGGAAAUAUGAAAGGAGCUGCUCCUAGUACGAGAGGACCGGAGUGGAGAUACAUAUGGUGUCCCGGUUGUUGUGUCAACAGCAUAGCCGGUUAGCUAAGUAUCGAAAAGAUAACUACUGAAAGCAUAUAAGUAGGAAGCUUACCUUAAGAUUAUAUUUCCCUAGAAAUGUAAAUUUCUAUUAAGAAUCGUUCUAGACUAGGACGUUGAUAGGCUGGGGGUAAAUUUAUAGUAAUAUAAUGGCUAACCAGUACUAAUUUUCGUAUGUAUAAGAAAGAUUUAUUU
Molecule: ribosomal RNA, 2868 nt
Filed under: Candidatus Vidania fulgoroideorum
Lineage: Bacteria; Pseudomonadati; Pseudomonadota; Betaproteobacteria
Description: bacterial LSU rRNA
Rfam family: Bacterial large subunit ribosomal RNA
Source: RNAcentral